This 497-nucleotide ribosomal RNA is filed under the name uncultured bacterium. RNAcentral's name for it is "partial 16S ribosomal RNA". It matches the Rfam family "Bacterial small subunit ribosomal RNA", at positions 28 to 507 of the family's 1533-position model. The record is from RNAcentral.
GAUGAACGCUGGCGGCGUGCCUAAUACAUGCAAGUCCAGCGAACAGACGAGGAGCUUGCUCCUCUGACGUUAGCGGCGGACGGGUGAGUAACACGUGGAUAACCUACCUAUAAGACUGGGAUAACUUCGGGAAACCGGAGCUAAUACCGGAUAAUAUAUUGAACCGCAUGGUUCAAUAGUGAAAGACGGUUUUGCUGUCACUUAUAGAUGGAUCCGCGCCGCAUUAGCUAGUUGGUAAGGUAACGGCUUACCAAGGCGACGAUGCGUAGCCGACCUGAGAGGGUGAUCGGCCACACUGGAACUGAGACACGGUCCAGACUCCUACGGGAGGCAGCAGUAGGGAAUCUUCCGCAAUGGGCGAAAGCCUGACGGAGCAACGCCGCGUGAGUGAUGAAGGUCUUCGGAUCGUAAAACUCUGUUAUUAGGGAAGAACAAAUGUGUAAGUAACUAUGCACGUCUUGACGGUACCUAAUCAGAAAGCCACGGCUAACUACGUG